AAUAGCUUGCUAAUGAAAUUCUUAGUGGCGGACGGGUUAGUAACACGUGAGAAUCCUACCCUUGAGUGGGGAAUAGCCUUUCGAAAGGAAGAUUAAUGCCCCAUAGUCUCUACGGAGUAAAGAUGCCUUCGGGUGUCGCUUAAGGAUGGGCUCGCGGCCUAUCAGCUAGUUGGUGAGGUAAGAGCUCACCAAGGCAACGACGGGUAGCUGGUCUGAGAGGACGAUCAGCAACACUGGAACUGAGACACGGUCCAGACACCUACGGGUGGCAGCAGUCGAGAAUCAUUCACAAUGGACGAAAGUCUGAUGGUGCAACGCCGCGUGGAGGAUGACGGCCCUAGGGUUGUAAACUCCUGUCAUCAGGGAGUAAGACUUACUCGUUAAUAGCGUGUAAGUUUGAUAGUACCUGAAGAGGAAGGGACGGCUAACUUCGUGCCAGCAGCCGCGGUAAUACGAAGGUCCCAAGCGUUGUUCGGAAUAACUGGGCGUAAAGCGUGUGUAGGCCGCGCGGAAAGUCGGAUGUGAAAGCCCAAGGCUCAACCUUGGAACUGCAUCCGAUACUCCCGUGCUA
This 571-nucleotide ribosomal RNA is filed under the name uncultured Roseibacillus sp. Its description in RNAcentral is "bacterial SSU rRNA". It matches the Rfam family "Bacterial small subunit ribosomal RNA", at positions 71 to 643 of the family's 1533-position model. Lineage: Bacteria; Pseudomonadati; Verrucomicrobiota; Verrucomicrobiia; Verrucomicrobiales; Verrucomicrobiaceae. The record is from RNAcentral.